UGAACGCUAGCUACAGGCUUAACACAUGCAAGUCGAGGGGAAACGACAUCGAAAGCUUGCUUUUGAUGGGCGUCGACCGGCGCACGGGUGAGUAACGCGUAUCCAACCUGCCCACCACUUGGGGAUAACCUUGCGAAAGUAAGACUAAUACCCAAUGAUAUCUCUAGAAGACAUCUGAAAGAGAUUAAAGAUUUAUCGGUGAUGGAUGGGGAUGCGUCUGAUUAGCUUGUUGGCGGGGUAACGGCCCACCAAGGCGACGAUCAGUAGGGGUUCUGAGAGGAAGGUCCCCCACAUUGGAACUGAGACACGGUCCAAACUCCUACGGGAGGCAGCAGUGAGGAAUAUUGGUCAAUGGACGAGAGUCUGAACCAGCCAAGUAGCGUGCAGGAUGACGGCCCUAUGGGUUGUAAACUGCUUUUAUAAGGGAAUAAAGUGAGUCUCGUGAGACUUUUUGCAUGUACCUUAUGAAUAAGGACCGGCUAAUUCCGUGCCAGCAGCCGCGGUAAUACGGAAGGUCCGGGCGUUAUCCGGAUUUAUUGGGUUUAAAGGGAGCGUAGGCCGGAGAUUAAGCGUGUUGUGAAAUGUAGACGCUCAACGUCUGCACUGCAGCGCGAACUGGUUUCCUUGAGUACGCACAAAGUGGGCGGAAUUCGUGGUGUAGCGGUGAAAUGCUUAGAUAUCACGAAGAACUCCGAUUGCGAAGGCAGCUCACUGGAGCGCAACUGACGCUGAAGCUCGAAAGUGCGGGUAUCGAACAGGAUUAGAUACCCUGGUAGUCCGCACGGUAAACGAUGGAUGCCCGCUGUUGGUCUGAAUAGGUCAGCGGCCAAGCGAAAGCAUUAAGCAUCCCACCUGGGGAGUACGCCGGCAACGGUGAAACUCAAAGGAAUUGACGGAA
Molecule: ribosomal RNA, 898 nt
Filed under: uncultured bacterium
Lineage: Bacteria
Description: bacterial SSU rRNA
Rfam family: Bacterial small subunit ribosomal RNA
Source: RNAcentral